This 1611-nucleotide long non-coding RNA is filed under the name Salmo salar (Atlantic salmon). RNAcentral describes it as "lncRNA (ENSSSAG00000111340.1)". The record is from RNAcentral. Lineage: Eukaryota; Metazoa; Chordata; Actinopteri; Salmoniformes; Salmonidae.
GUUAUGAAUGAUGUAGCAUGUUGUGUUUGUUAUGAAUGAUGUAGCAUGUUGUGUUAUGAAUGAUGUAGCAUGUUGUGUUAAUUAUAAAUGAUGUAGCAUGUUGUGUUUAUUAUGAAUGAUGUAGCAUGUUGUGUUUGUCAUGAAUGAUGUAGCAUGUUGUGUUUGUUAUGAAUGAUGUAGCAUGUUUUGUUUGUUAUGAAUGAUGUAGCAUGUUGUGUUUGACAUGAAUGAUGUAGCAUGUUGUGUUUGUUAUGAAUGAUGUAGCUUGUUGUGUUAUGAAUGAUGUAGUGUGUUGUGUUUGUCAUGAAUGAUGUAGCAUGUUGUGUUUGUUAUGAAUGAUGUAGCAUGUUUUGUUUGUUAUGAAUGAUGUAGCAUGUUGUGUUUGUUAUGAAUGAUGUAGCAUGUUGUGUUUGUUAUGAAUGAUGUAGCAUGUUGUGUUAUGAAUGAUGUAGCAUGUUGUGUUAAUUAUAAAUGAUGUAGCAUGUUGUGUUUAUUAUGAAUGAUGUAGCAUGUUGUGUUUGUCAUGAAUGAUGUAGCAUGUUGUGUUUGUUAUGAAUGAUGUAGCAUGUUUUGUUUGUUAUGAAUGAUGUAGCAUGUUGUGUUUGACAUGAAUGAUGUAGCAUGUUGUGUUUGUUAUGAAUGAUGUAGCUUGUUGUGUUAUGAAUGAUGUAGUGUGUUGUGUUUGUCAUGAAUGAUGUAGCAUGUUGUGUUUGUUAUGAAUGAUGUAGCAUGUUGUGUUUGUUAUGAUGUAGCAUGUUGUGUUAUGAAUGAUAUAGCAUGUUGUGUUUGUUAUGAUGUAGCAUGUUGUGUUUGUUAUGAUGUAGCAUGUUGUGUUAUGAAUGAUGUAGCAUGUUGUGUUUGUCAUGAAUGAUCUUGUUGUGUUUGUUAUGAAUGCUGUAGCUUGUUGUGUUAUGAAUGAUGUAGUGUGUUGUUAAGUAUGAUGUAUCAUGUUGUGUUUGUUAUGAAUGAUGUAGCAUGUUGUGUUAUGAAUGAUGUAACAUGUUGUGUUAUGAAUGAUGUAGCAUGUUGUGUUUGAUAUGAAUGAUGUAGCAUGUUGUGUUUGCUAUGAAUGAUGUAGCAUGUCGUGUUUGUUAUGAAUGAUGUAGCAUGUCGUGUUUGUUAUGAAUUAUGUAGCAUGUUUUGUUUGUUAUGAGUGAUGUAGCAUGUUGUGUUUGUUAUGAAUGAUGUAGCAUGUUUUGUUUGUUAUGAAUGAUGUAGCAUGUUGUGUUUGUUAUGAAUGAUGUAGCAUGUUGUGUUUGUUAUGAAUGAUGUAGCAUGUUGUGUUAUGAAUGAUGUAGCAUGUUGUGUUAAUUAUAAAUGAUGUAGCAUGUUGUGUUUAUUAUGAAUGAUGUAGCAUGUUGUGUUUGUCAUGAAUGAUGUAGCAUGUUGUGUUUGUUAUGAAUGAUGUAGCAUGUUUUGUUUGUUAUGAAUGAUGUAGCAUGUUGUGUUUGACAUGAAUGAUGUAGCAUGUUGUGUUUGUUAUGAAUGAUGUAGCUUGUUGUGUUAUGAAUGAUGUAGUGUGUUGUGUUUGUCAUGAAUGAUGUAGCAUGUUGUGUUUGUUAUGAAUGAUGUAGCAUGUUGUGUUUGUUAUGAUGUAGCAUGUUGUGUUAU